This 852-nucleotide ribosomal RNA is filed under the name Preussia funiculata. RNAcentral describes it as "eukaryotic LSU rRNA". It matches the Rfam family "Eukaryotic large subunit ribosomal RNA", at positions 66 to 936 of the family's 3401-position model. Lineage: Eukaryota; Fungi; Ascomycota; Dothideomycetes; Pleosporales; Sporormiaceae. The record is from RNAcentral.
CAACAGGGAUUGCCCUAGUAACGGCGAGUGAAGCGGCAACAGCUCAAAUUUGAAAUCUGGCUCUUUUAGGGUCCGAGUUGUAAUUUGCAGAGGGUGCUUUGGCAAAGGUUGUGGUCUAAGUUCCUUGGAACAGGACGUCACAGAGGGUGAGAAUCCCGUACGUGGCCGCCAACCCGCGCUAUGUAAAGCCCCUUCGACGAGUCGAGUUGUUUGGGAAUGCAGCUCUAAAUGGGAGGUAAAUUUCUUCUAAAGCUAAAUAUUGGCCAGAGACCGAUAGCGCACAAGUAGAGUGAUCGAAAGAUGAAAAGCACUUUGGAAAGAGAGUCAAAAAGCACGUGAAAUUGUUGAAAGGGAAGCGCUUGCAGCCAGACUUGCCUGUAGUUGCUCAUCCGGGCUCUUGCCUGGUGCACUCUUCUAUAGGCAGGCCAGCAUCAGUCUUGGCGGUCGGAUAAAUGCGUGCUAAACGUACCUCUCUUCGGGGAGGACUUAUAGGGCACGCGGCAUACGACCAGCCGGGACUGAGGUCCGCGCAUCUGCUAGGAUGCUGGCGUAAUGGCUGUAAGCGGCCCGUCUUGAAACACGGACCAAGGAGUCUAACAUCUAUGCGAGUGUUUGGGUGUCAAGCCCGAGCGCGUAAUGAAAGUGAACGGAGGUGGGAACCCCUCGGGGUGCACCAUCGACCGAUCCUGAUGUCUUCGGAUGGAUUUGAGUAAGAGCAUAGCUGUUGGGACCCGAAAGAUGGUGAACUAUGCCUGAAUAGGGUGAAGCCAGAGGAAACUCUGGUGGAGGCUCGCAGCGGUUCUGACGUGCAAAUCGAUCGUCAAAUUUGGGCAUAGGGGCGAAAGACUAAUC